Molecule: ribosomal RNA, 494 nt
Filed under: uncultured bacterium
Lineage: Bacteria
Description: bacterial SSU rRNA
Rfam family: Bacterial small subunit ribosomal RNA
Source: RNAcentral
AAAUGAAUUGACGGGGGCCCGCACAAGCGGAGGAACAUGUGGUUUAAUUCGAUGAUACGCGAGGAACCUUACCCGGGCUUGAACUGCAGAUGAAGGAUCCAGAGAUGGUGACGCCCUUCGGGGCAUCUGCGGAGGUGCUGCAUGGUUGUCGUCAGCUCGUGCCGUGAGGUGUCGGCUUAAGUGCCAUAACGAGCGCAACCCCUCUCCUCAGUUGCCAUCAGGUCAUGCUGGGCACUCUGUGGACACUGCCACCGUAAGGUGCGAGGAAGGUGGGGAUGACGUCAAAUCAGCACGGCCCUUACGUCCGGGGCUACACACGUGUUACAAUGGGGGGUACAGAGUGUCGGCCGCAUGCAAAUGCGGUCCAAUCAAUAAAGCCUCCCUCAGUUCGGACUGGGGUCUGCAACCCGACCCCACGAAGCUGGAUUCGCUAGUAAUCGCGCAUCAGCCAUGGCGCGGUGAAUACGUUCCCGGGCCUUGUACACACCGCCCGU